RNAcentral lists this ribosomal RNA (1529 nucleotides) under Pseudomonadota bacterium. Its description in RNAcentral is "bacterial SSU rRNA". It matches the Rfam family "Bacterial small subunit ribosomal RNA". Lineage: Bacteria; Pseudomonadati; Pseudomonadota. The record is from RNAcentral.
AAACUGGAGAGUUUGAUCCUGGCUCAGAGCGAACGCUAGCGGCGGGCCUAACACAUGCAAGUCGAGCGGGGAACUUCGGUUCUUUAGCGGCGGACGGGUGAGUAACACGUAGGUAAUGUGUCCUCUGGUGGGGAAUAACCGUGGGAAACCAUGGCUAAUACCGCAUAUCGUGCUUCGGCAUGAAAGGCUCCGAGUGAAAUCGGAGGCGCCAGUUGAGCAGCCUGCGUCCCAUUAUUUAGUCCUAGUUGGUGGGGUAAUGGCCUACCAAGGGUACGAUGGGUAGCUGGUCUGAGAGGAUGAUCAGCCACACUGGAACUGAGACACGGUCCAGACUCCUACGGGAGGCAGCAGUGGGGAAUAUUGCGCAAUGGGCGAAAGCCUGACGCAGCCACGCCGCGUGAGUGAUGAAGGCCUUCGGGUUGUAAAGCUCUGUCGGGAGGGACGAAAGGAGCAAUCCUUGACGGUACCUCGCAAGAAAGCACCGGCUAACUCUGUGCCAGCAGCCGCGGUAAUACAGAGGGUGCAAGCGUUGCUCGGAUUUACUGGGCGUAAAGCGUACGCAGACGGUGAGAAAGGUCGGAUGUGAAAGCCCCGGGCUCAACCCGGGAACUGCAUCCGAAACCAUCUCGCUAGAGUAUGGGAGAGGGAAGCAGAAUUCCUGGUGUAGAGGUGAAAUUCGUAGAUAUCAGGAGGAAUACCUGCGGCGAAGGCGGCUUCCUGGCCCAUUACUGACGUUCAGGUACGAAAGCGUGGGUAGCAAACAGGAUUAGAUACCCUGGUAGUCCACGCCGUAAACGAUGUGUGCUGGAUGUCGGGGGUAUUCACCCCCUCGGUAUCGAAGCUAACGCGAUAAGCACACCGCCUGGGGAGUACGGCCGCAAGGUUGAAACUCAAAGGAAUUGACGGGGGCCCGCACAAGCGGUGGAGUAUGUGGUUUAAUUCGACGCAACGCGAAGAACCUUACCCAGCCUUGACAUCCCUGGAACCCGGUGGAAACACUGGGGUGUCCUCGCAAGAGGAAGCCAGGUGACAGGUGCUGCAUGGCUGUCGUCAGCUCGUGUCGUGAGAUGUUCGGUUAAGUCCGGCAACGAGCGCAACCCUUGCUUCCAGUUGCCAUCAUUAAGUUGGGAACUCUGGAGGGACUGCCGGCGCUAAGCCGGAGGAAGGUGGGGACGACGUCAAGUCAUCAUGGCCUUUAUGGCUGGGGCUACACACGUACUACAAUGGCGACUACAAAGGGCUGCGAAGCAGCGAUGUGAAGCAAAUCCCAAAAAAGUCGCCUCAGUUCGGAUUGGAGUCUGCAACUCGACUCCAUGAAGUUGGAAUCGCUAGUAAUCGCGGAUCAGAACGCCGCGGUGAAUACGUUCCCGGGCCUUGUACACACCGCCCGUCACACCACGAAAGUUGGAUGGACCUGAAGUUGUUGACCCAACCCGCAAGGGAGGGAGGCACCAACGGUCUGUUCGAUGAUUGGGGUGAAGUCGUAACAAGGUAGCCGUAGGGGAACCUGCGGCUGGAUCACCUCCUUU